GGAGGGUGCAAGCGUUGUUCGGAAUUACUGGGCGUAAAGAGCGUGUAGGCGGUUUGGCAAGUCAGAUGUGAAAGCCCUGGGCUCAACCCAGGAAGUGCAUUUGAAACUGCCAUACUAGAGUAUGGGAGAGGAGAGUGGAAUUCCCGGUGUAGAGGUGAAAUUCGUAGAUAUUGGGAGGAACACCCGUGGCGAAGGCGACUCUCUGGACCAAUACUGACGCUGAGACGCGAAAGCGUGGGGAGCAAACAGGAUUAGAUACCCUGGUAGUCCACGCCGUAAACGAUGAGAACUAGGUGUAGCGGGUAUUGACCCCCUGCUGUGCCGUAGCUAACGCAUUAAGUUCUCCGCCCUGGGAGUACGGUCGCAAGGCUA
Molecule: ribosomal RNA, 372 nt
Filed under: uncultured organism
Description: partial 16S ribosomal RNA
Rfam family: Bacterial small subunit ribosomal RNA
Source: RNAcentral